AGUAUAAUUGUUGUGUCAUAUAUUAAGUUUAACUUUUUAAGAAACUGCCAAAUUGUUUUCCAAAGCAGCUGCACUAUUUCAUAUUGUACCUGCAAU
RNAcentral lists this microRNA precursor (96 nucleotides) under Marmota monax (woodchuck). The record is from RNAcentral. Lineage: Eukaryota; Metazoa; Chordata; Mammalia; Rodentia; Sciuridae.